This 468-nucleotide ribosomal RNA is filed under the name uncultured bacterium. RNAcentral describes it as "partial 16S ribosomal RNA". It matches the Rfam family "Bacterial small subunit ribosomal RNA", at positions 28 to 507 of the family's 1533-position model. The record is from RNAcentral.
GACGAACGCUGGCGGCGUGCUUAACACAUGCAAGUCGAACGGAAAGGCCCUGCUUUUGUGGGGUGCUCGAGUGGCGAACGGGUGAGUAACACGUGAGUAACCUGCCCUUGACUUUGGGAUAACUUCAGGAAACUGGGGCUAAUACCGGAUAGGAGCUCCUGCUGCAGGGUGGGGGUUGGAAAGUUUCGGCGGUUGGGGAUGGACUCGCGGCUUAUCAGCUUGUUGGUGGGGUAGUGGCUUACCAAGGCUUUGACGGGUAGCCGGCCUGAGAGGGUGACCGGCCACAUUGGGACUGAGAUACGGCCCAGACUCCUACGGGAGGCAGCAGUGGGAAAUAUUGCACAAUGGGCGGAAGCCUGAUGCAGCAGCGCCGCGUGCGGGAUGACGGCCUUCGGGUUGUAAACCGCUUUCGCCUGUGACGAAGCGUGAGUGACGGUAAUGGGUAAAGAAGCACCGGCUAACUACGUG